Molecule: small RNA, 586 nt
Filed under: Vigna angularis var. angularis
Lineage: Eukaryota; Viridiplantae; Streptophyta; Magnoliopsida; Fabales; Fabaceae
Description: Non-protein coding transcript
Source: RNAcentral
UUUCCCUCUUCCUUCUCUUCUUCCUCCCUUUCUCCAUUUCCGUUUCUUUAUUUUUUUUGGUGCUCCAUUUCCAUUGCUUUCAUUUUUAUUGAAGUGGUUGGAUCGUUUGCAAAGAGGAGUGUGCUUCUGUUGGUGCUUCUGUUAGUUUGCAAAGAGGAGUGUGAGGUAUUCGAAGAGUUUUCGAUUUGAGAGGUCGCCAUAAGGACAGGACUUCGGAUCAAGGAGGUGCCGGCGGAGCGGGUGGAGCCCAUGAGGGAGGAGGUGCCAGCGGAGGAGGAGUGGAUGGAGACCACGGGGAAGGAGGUGCUGGCGGAGGAGGGGAAGAAGGUGUCGGCGGAGGCGGAGUGGGUGGAGCCCACGUGAAAGAAGGUGUCGGCGGAGGUGAUUGCGCCGGAGGAGGGGGAGAAGGUGUCGGCGGAGUGGGUAGAGUCCACGUGGGCGGCACCUUGCAUGUCUAGCGCUGUUCAAUCAAUGUUUAGCAGUUCCUCGUCCAGGUUGUCGAAUCCUCUCGGUCACCUAUUCCAUCUAAAUUUAUGACAAUUUAAGUUCAAUUCAAAUAACCGUUUUCAGUUAAUAUUAAUAAAUA